This 719-nucleotide long non-coding RNA is filed under the name Anas zonorhyncha (Eastern spot-billed duck). RNAcentral describes it as "lncRNA (ENSAZOG00000001655.1)". Lineage: Eukaryota; Metazoa; Chordata; Aves; Anseriformes; Anatidae. The record is from RNAcentral.
CAGACUUCUAUUGCAAUCUAACUGCUAGAAGCAGAGCCCAUCCUCCUUACAACCAUAGAUCAAAACAUGUUUGCUUAAGUUUUUAGCUGUCUCUAUGGCUGCAAGCUCAAAACAGCUUUGGCAAAUUCCAAAGCUUAGUCAAAGUAAAUUGUUACUUCUCUGAGAAAGAAGAGGAAAACUAAUGUGGGAAAUGAAGAGGAAAAAAGCAUGCAUGGAAUGAAAAGGAAAAUGCAUCUAAAAAGAGAAGAGAAGGAGCGAUGCAUAAAGUGGAAUGCUGUGCAGGAAAUCUCUGAUCUUUGGCUGCUCCACGGAACUGUGCAGCUGCACUUUUGUCCUCACUGCCUAGAACCCUGCCUCUGAGGAAAAUCAAAUCAGAGAUGCUAAGGAGUAAGUAGAUUACUGGACUGGCUUUAUGAUGUUUACUGAAGAUUAUAAAAAGAUUAUAUAAGGCAUACCCUUAUUUUCUUCAAUUUCAUCUUGACCCAGUAAAUCAUUUUAUGUACAGUUGUCUUGGAUUCUCACCAAAGAACAAGUACUUUUAAAUGGAAAUUUUUAUUUUCUACUUCACAGAGACAUCUUCCUUUGAGAGUAAGAAAUGACUAGCAUAAAAGUACGCUUUUACUUACAAAGAAAAAAGUAGUUAAGAUUUCACUCAAUUUCCUAUGCAAUCAUCAUUUUUAAUAUAACAUUAAAUUCAUUAUUCUUUUGAAGGUGUUCUG